GCAUAUUGGUGUGUGUGUGUGUGUGUGUGUGUGUGUGUGUGUGUGUGUGUGUGUGUGUGUGUGUGUGUGUGUGUGUGUUUCUGUCUGUGUGUGACCAUGUUACAUCUGUUCAUGUGUCUGGGUAUAGUCAGUCUUGGUGACUACGUGGGCUGAACUCCAUGUCCUUCUGUGUCGUGUUGAAAAGAGACCCAAAUGAGUGUUGUGUGUGGACACAACACCCCCUCGGUCCGGGCAUGGAAUUGGGGGUGGCCAUUGGUCCAUCCUGCCUGCUCCUGUGCCCGGGGCAGAGCCCGAGUGUCCCUGCCUGUUCCUCUUCUUGGUGAUCCCUGCUGAGUGUUCUGUCUCGUUCUUUGUCCCACCUCUGCCUCUCCCAGCACUGCUACCUUUUCUGAGGAAUGUAGCAUCCACUGCAGCUGGCCACACGAGGCCCCUCUGGGAGCCCUGACACCCCUCCGCCGGCAGCUUUGCCCACUGAAUGCAUCUGCAGCAUGGAGCAUGCCCGGCUAGGGCCCUGGCCAGGGCCUGGGAAGCAAAGAUGCCUGGGGAGCUGAGGCCUUGGAGAUUGCUUCCUCCCUCAGGCUGGAGCCACCUCCUUCCGACAAGCAAAACAUUGGAGGUCUUAGUUUGCAGGGCUGCUGGCCAGACACCUUAGGGGGAAGUUCCAGUACCUCCCUUAGCACUGCUCCUCACUUUCUGUCUCCCUCCAAGCCCCGCACCUCUGACAUGCCAAAGGAGCUCUCCAGGGGACCCAGCAGGUGUGGGCGGGAGGUGUGGCCAUCCAGGAGGCUGCCUCAGAGGGCAUGUACUCUGCCAGAGCAGACAGUCCCUGGAGGCACCCGUGUCCUCCCCAGGCUCAGAAGGUGGCCCUGACCCCACUGGGCUCAUCCUGGUAGGGCCUGGCCUGUGAGGAGGUGCCGAGGGUGGGGCUGAUUGCUGGGUUACGGAGGGCAGGACGGACUUGCUCUGAGAAUCCUGCCUGGGGAUUAGCUGCCUGAAGUUCAUCUGGGGCUUUGUCCUGCUCAUUUCUAGACCAGGGACCAUGUGGGAGCUCAGCUCAUGUGGGCUCCAGCCUCCUGGCCCCACAGACAGCCUGGCUCUGGACUCUGGUCUGCCACAGCCACCAGCUCUGUACAAGCAAUACUCAUGCUCGGCCUCCUGCCUCCCUGAGCUCUCCUGCUGCCCGCUGCCCACGCCUGCUGCCCGCUGGAGAGUGACCUGGCCUGCUCCUGGCGCCUACCCGCUCUGCUUUCAUCCCACCCAUCUGGCUGGAGCUUCGCAAAGCUGUUCACGCUCUGACUUGGUCUGUAGGCUGGGUUCUGUGGGUGGGACCAGUGCCGGGACUGAAGUCUGGCUUAGGUCAAGGGUGAAAGGUGAGAGGUUGCGCAGGAGCUGGAUAUAGCAGCCCUUGGAUCCGUGUUUGGGAAGGAAAGAGUGUGGGGGAGGGUGUCACGGAAUGAGGCAAGCUCUCUCUUCCCCAGACAUCAUCCCCAAUGCUGCAGUGACUCCAUGUGCCGGAGGCAGUGCAGGCUCAGAGCCUGAGUGCUUGGUCUCCAUCUGUAACCAAAGGAGGUGGGAUCUGAGGGAGGUGGAGGGAAGCUCUCUGGGGAUACUGCCAUCUCCACCAAGGGGCGUCCCUUUUGGGCAGGAUCCGCCUUUUCUCCCAAAACACAAGGGGAGGAAACCAGGACCCCGUCAGUCCUGCCCACAGACAAAGAGGAGGUAAUACGGGCAGUAAAGAAACCGACGCUAUGAGCGCCUGGGCCUGAGCCUGCAUUCUGUAUCAGCACGAGACCACUGUGUGCGUGGAAGAGAGGGCGGGCCAGCUGGGCCCCACCCUCUCUCUCUGCAGAAAUCCUCUCCCGUUGUCAGGGCUGGGUAACGCCUGCACGUCGCACGGUUCUACAGUGAAGCCAGGGGCUCUGCACUCUGGUCCGAGACUGGGAGAGUGAGGACCCGCGCUCAGGGAGGUGUCCUGUCUGUGAUGUGCUCACCUCAGAGAGCUUGCCCCCAGGAUGGUGUGAAAACACACGAGGGUGGUGGGCUUAUGGUGAACGUGUAGACGCCUGCCGAUGUAGCACCGAAUGGCGAUCCUCAGACCAUGCAGCCACCCCCAGGGAAGGGGGACGUCAUCCUCAUUCCUCAAAGGGCCCAGAAAGGCGUGAUUCUGAGAAGGUGGGAGCUGCCAGCAGUUAGGCUACCGCUGGGUAGCUGGAGGCCGGGUGGGUUAGCACAGGGGAAGUGCCAGCCAGACGGGGCACCUGGCGUGUGGAUAGAGCUGCCUGCAACCCCAGCUGCCAAAGCCGCCAGGGUAGGCCCGCUCCUCAGUUCCAUCUCUAAUGGGCAGUGACCCCGCCCCGUGUUGACCUUGGGAAUGAUUCUUUUUAACCCUUUGUACCAAAUAAGUGACUGAUUCCACCUAGAUCUGCCCCCAGGAGGGUGAAGUCAUGUGAGGCUGAUAUGUGUGUGUGUUGGAGACCGGCUGGAGGUCGGGGUCUGUUUCUCAGCACCCAGGGUGCAGGGGCCUGAGAAGCAGCUCUGGAACCAGCCCGUCGCAGGGGAGGAGGGAGCUCAAGGCGGGAGCGUCUGUUCUUUCAGAGGAGAUGGUGGGGGAGGAAGGAACAAGAAACACCCCCCCCCCGCCUCCCCCGAGUUCUCUCCAACCUGGGACCAGCUCACGGCUAGGGACUGUAUCCUGGCCCCUAACCCUCCCUCCCCGCAGCCCAGGUGAAGCCCGGAGCUGAUCUCAGACGGGGGCUCUGUCACUCCAUCUCCUCUGCUCAGGCAGGCUCUGGAAGACAAAGGCCCUGCGGGCGAUGCGGGCUGCCGGCAGGAACCGUGAGAAUGACUCAGAGCGCUGACUUCACAUUUCUGCUCUGUUGAAUCCCUCCCGCUCCCUUCAAAGAUGGCUUCCCUGCAGGGAAGUCUGUGAUGGGCCUUGGGGAUGAAUGAGGCUCCACUGAUGAGCCACGUCUUGGUUGGACCAGGGCGGGUGUGACCCUGCGGGAAAGAACUGUCUCCAGAAUGAUUGCCGUCCAGGCAGGCCCACCACCAGCUCUCCCGGGAAAGGCACACGGCCCGGGCGCUGCCAGGACUGGCCGAGGCAGAACCUAGGAGCUCCAGAGAGAGGGCGCCUGAGCCGCCCAUCCCUUGUGGGAUCACUGCCUGUUGCAUGGCACCCACCAGGGCGAGCCUGCCCCAGCUCUUCUUUACUGCCAGCCUCGAGGAGGGCAGAAGCACCCUUUAAAGACAAUAGAACCCUCCAAGAGUACUUCCUUGGAAAUGAAAUGUAGCACAAUCUGAGACUGCGUUGCGAGGAGCCCUGACACCCAGCCAGGGUUCUUGCUCUUCACCUUGCUGCCCGGGAGACCUGUGCUCCUCCCCUGGGGCUCCAGAGCUCCUAAUACCUCUGACCCCCCAUCUCCCUUGGCCCAGAAAGCAGCACGGCUUCAGCGAGUCUGCUGUUCUGUUUCUCUGAUUGCUCCCUGCACUGUGCAAACUCUGCAAGAAAUUGCUGCCUUUGCUUGACAUUGUACUGAGUUGUCCUCCACCUGGGGGGAGAGAGAUGGCAUGUCAUUCAGGGCCAAGGGAUGGUCCUGCAGUGGCUUGCAAGGCGAUGGAUAAGAGGAGGCCCGCUGCCCUGCUGACCCCUCCCUCUCUCAUCCCCUCCUCUGCAUUCUCUUCUCCAGUAUCCCCACAGUAAAGAGGCUCUUUGAAAUGCUGCUUCCUGUACUGAGUUAUCUUUCACUGGAUGAUCAGGGAGGAGAUGGGAAUGCAGACUCAUUGUCCCCGGUCUUCUCAAGUCUGCUUUCACUCAGGUCAGAAGAGAUUGGGGCAAAACAAAACAAUCAUGGUUGAAGGGCUGGGGAGCCCUGCCCCUGAUCGGGGCCACAUUGACCUGGUCUGGCUGGGAAAGGGUUAUUUUGAAAGAGUGCCUGAGCAUCUCAGAGCAAUGUCAGUGAUGCCAAAGAGAGCAACUUGGCCUCCUUGGGCACCAACUCCGCGUUGGUCUGCCUGAUGGUGGGACCUUGUUCUCUGACAAAAGGGCUUAAUCUUUCCAUGUAGCAAAGCAACUCCCCCACCAUCCCCCCACCCCUAGCUUGGGCUUUUGUGGGCCCAGCACGGCUGUGCCUGUGAGGGAAACCACAGCAGAGAGAGACAGUGCAUUCUCUUAGGGGCCUAGGCUGCUCACGAGAAGCAUAAGUGCUUUGGCAAAACCUUCCAGCACUCCGGCUGGAGGCUUGGCCAGGAAGGACCGGGGCCAUGGGCCUACCAAGGAGUUCACCCCAAUAGCAGGAAGGACCUGUGGGACCGGGUUCCAGAGAGCAUGGCUAGCAAAUGAGGAUUUACCCCCUUGGUCCAUGGCCCGAACAGCUGGCUAUAGAGCAUCAAAGGCUGUCAUAGAAAGUUUGCCAGAAACAGCAACCAUGCGCAAGACUCCUCACUUUUCUGGGCCUCAGCUUUUCAUCUGCAAAAUCAGAGCAUUUGCUAGCUGCUGCACGGUUCCCUCCAGGUGUUGAAGGUCUGAUCUGGAGCCGAUGAGGGCUGAGCCUGGUGCACACGGUUCCACGGACUGGUUUCUUCCAGCCCUGGGUGCCCAAGCCGGGUGCAGGUCCUCAUCUGUCCACGCCCAGAUGCUGCUUCAGACUAGAACUCUGGGAACCCUAACAGACUGCUCCCCCCUCUUUGUGGUCCAUUCUCUCUUAUUCGUGUGUGAUGAUGAAAAACAAUUAAGAGGUGUCCUACAACGGACAAUUUUCAAGGUGCUGAUGUGAUGUUACAACCUCAGCUGCACCCUGUGUAGGUUAGUAUCCCCACCAGCAACUGGUCCUCAUAGCUGCUUCUAGAAGGACGUCGGUGGGAGAUUUGGACAUGGGAGAAUUUUAAAGGAAAUGCUCUCUGAUGGGAGGAGAGAGGGGACUUCCUGUCCAAGUAUUUUGCUUCUUAAAACCACUCCUCUCUCCAGAAUGUCUUUUACUGGGUGACAUCUCCGCAGGCUGAGUGGCUGCUUCGGUAGGAAAAGUUGGCCUGAUUGUUCUAUCUGCUCCUUUAGAGAGUACAUUCACAGAAGAAAGGAACCUUUUUUUAAUUUUAUUAUUAUUAUUUUUAGAAUAUCCAAACGCAUCCUUCAAAGAAAGAGAUAGCUGAUAGGGACUGACAAGCACACUGUUUAGAUAAGAAGCAAAUUAGCCUUUUAUAUCUGUGCUCUAUACAUUUUCUAUGUGCAGCAUCUUUCCAACCUGGUUGUGGCUCCUGGGUGGCAGGUGGACAGCUGGGAAGGACUUGCCAGCCGUUCAUACAACGUUCUUGCCAAUUCCCUUGAGAAAAUUCUUCACAUGGCUUCUGCAUGUACAGUAUUUGGGCAGCAAAAAAAAUGAUUAAAGUUGGUUUAAAACUGG
Pipistrellus kuhlii (Kuhl's pipistrelle) is the source of this 5396-nucleotide long non-coding RNA. RefSeq lists it as uncharacterized. The record is from RefSeq and is a predicted model, not a curated record. The transcript is spliced from 2 exons. Lineage: Eukaryota; Metazoa; Chordata; Mammalia; Chiroptera; Vespertilionidae.